Non-coding RNA from Camellia sinensis, 720 nucleotides. NCBI's taxonomy places the organism in Eukaryota, Viridiplantae, Streptophyta, Magnoliopsida, Ericales, Theaceae. The record is from RefSeq and is a predicted model, not a curated record.
UCUCUCAUCUUUUCCCUACCACCGCCACCAUAUCUUCAUCGCUACAACCACUCCCCUCUUUCUUUCUCUCCAUCUCUGUCUCACACAAUCCCACAACCACGCCCUUGUUUCUUUAUCUUUCUCUUCAUCUUCGGUGAAGAUCAAUUGAUGAGGAUCACAGAUCACAAAGCAUUAUUCGAUAGAACAUAGGAUUUCGGCUUCAUCUUCUCUAACCCUCUAUUCUAUCUCUGUCUAAACCCUAGCCCUUGAAAUCGAAACCCUAUUGUAUCUUCGAUCUAUGUCUGAAAUAACCGAAACCCUUGAUUGAAUCAAGUCGAAACCCUUGAAAUCACUUCAUGAAGAAGAUGAAACCCUUGAAAUGAAACUCAGAGCAUCCAAAUUGGCUUUCUAAAGAAGAUGAAAACGAAGAAGAUGAAGCCAACUCUUUGGAAUGCUGAAAUCAUCUGAAAUUCGUCAACCAUCUUCAAAUCCAGGUGGGCAAGCUAAACAUCAGAGUUAGGAAGCCUCAAGUCUGCCCCGGGUCAACCUUUUGAGGAGCUUCCAAGUGAAGUCAUCAGGCUCAAGUGGAGCCAUAUUAGUGGAACCCUUUUUUGUUUGUUUAAGUGGUUUUGUGAUAAAUGUUUUGUUGGGGUUGUAUAUUUGCAAGACGUGAAUUUUAUAUAAUAGUGAACAAUAUACUUCGGGAACAAGUUUUUGCUUAUUAUACUAGUUUUCUUUAUA